CGUCAUCAUCUAAGAAUUUAUAUAAUUUUUAAAUUUUUCAAGUGAUGACGUGGCAUAAUUUCAGAGUGCCACAUAAUCAAACUUUUAUAUUUUUCAAUUUAAGGGACCAAAAUGAACCCAGUUGUUAAAAUUCAAGUGUCAAAGUAAACAAAAAAAUAAAUACAAGUACCAAAGUAAACCUAGUUGUCAAGUUUAGGGGUAAAAAUUUAUAUUAUCCCCUAAAUAAAUAUAUGUAUAUUGAAAUAUAAGUUAUAAAACAGGAAAUAAAUUGGUUAUUUUGCAUAUUUGUUUUAUGGUCAAUGUUUAGAGUUUGUGAUUAUCUUUAUUAACAAUGUUGUCUCUAAUGUUUGAAUAUGUGUUCUCUCAUUUAUUUAUAAAUAUCCUUAUUCAAUGGUCGAGUUAUCUGUAUGAAUAAAGUCAGAGCUAGGGGCCCCAAAAUGAGAAAUUAUCCCUUUAGUCCUUCUAAAAUUUGAAACGUUUUAAGUUAAUUCAGUAGUAAAAUUGUAUUUUGACUCAUUCUAAAAUUUAAAAAUCAAUUGCGGCCUCUCUAAGAACGAAAAUUUUAUAGUUCAUUCCCCUGAAAAAUUGUAAGAUUUUAUGUUAAUACAAAG
RNAcentral lists this long non-coding RNA (611 nucleotides) under Gossypium raimondii (Peruvian cotton). RNAcentral's name for it is "long non-coding RNA (GRAI_LNC008751)". The record is from RNAcentral. Lineage: Eukaryota; Viridiplantae; Streptophyta; Magnoliopsida; Malvales; Malvaceae.